This 641-nucleotide long non-coding RNA is filed under the name Sorghum bicolor (sorghum). RNAcentral's name for it is "long non-coding RNA (SBIC_LNC001225)". Lineage: Eukaryota; Viridiplantae; Streptophyta; Magnoliopsida; Poales; Poaceae. The record is from RNAcentral.
CGUUGCAUACCUGUAGAUUUAUUUGUGUUCAAAAUACUUGUAAAAGCUUACAAAUUUCAAAGAUUUUAAUUUAAGAAUAUAUUCUAGAAAAUAGUGCGGCAAAGCCAAGCAUAAUAGUCCAAUGCAUCAAAGCCAUGCAUAAUAUAAUGCGGCAAGUAUUUUUUUUUACUUUUUUUAGGAAAGUAUUUUCUUUUACUCAAGACAGGAACGUUGGUCGUCGCCUUCUGAACUGGGCUCUCUUUUUGGAAUUAUACAUCUGGGAAUAUAUGUGCUGAUGUGCCGACAGUCUACCGGUCCUCAAGAAAGGAUUCCACAAGAUAGCCACGGAUUCUAUAUAUUUUUCUACAACCAAGUCGGUUUCAUCGUGGAUAAUCAUGAUUUCAUUUGAUGAUGAGGUCCUCCUUGCAUAUUUUUUGAAUAAAUCCUGCUGAAAACAUAGAUUCACCAAAACAUGUGAAAUUUAUUAAUUUAAACCCUAAACUUAUGUUGGUGAUCAUUUUUAUGCAUUUAUACAUGUUAUAUAUCACAACAGAAAACACUAGAUUUGCCUAGAGCUUUGAGGUUUGCCGAGAGCUCUAUAUCGGGCUCUCGGCAAACACGAAAUUCAUCCGCAGUCACUCUCGGCGAAGAAUUACUCUCGG